RNAcentral lists this long non-coding RNA (332 nucleotides) under Arabidopsis lyrata. Its description in RNAcentral is "long non-coding RNA (ALYR_LNC002056)". Lineage: Eukaryota; Viridiplantae; Streptophyta; Magnoliopsida; Brassicales; Brassicaceae. The record is from RNAcentral.
AUUUCUUAACCCGUCCUGUGAUUUGUAUUAAAAAAUAAGGAUUAAAUCCGUAUUGAAGCGGCGGAUUAAUGAUAUUUUAAUCUUUUUAUUAUUGUUGAUUCAAAAACCCGUCCCGCCAAACCCAUCCCGCCAAAAAACUCAUUUAUUUUAUUAAUGUUCUUAUUUAUGAUAUGAUUCUGAAUCAUUGUCUAAAUAUUUUAAUCGAUGUAGAACGUUGAACACACAUUUUCGUCAAUUGGAUAAUAUAUGUCCGUUUUUAAAAUUUCGAAUCACAGUAUAUGCAGAAAAAAAUUGAUUUUUUUUUUUUACUUUAUGUAUUAUAUGAUGAUUCA